UGAUGGAGAUAGAUUAUUGCAAUUAUUAGUCUUCAACGAGGAAUGCCUAGUAAGCGCGAGUCAUCAGCUCGCGUUGAUUACGUCCCUGCCCUUUGUACACACCGCCCGUCGCUCCUACCGAUUGGGUGUGCUGGUGAAGUGUUCGGAUUGGCCCCGGUUGGUGGCAACAUUGUCCGGAGCCGAGAAGAUCAUUAAACCCUCCCACCUAGAGGAAGGAGAAGUCGUAACAAGGUUUCCGUAGGUGAACCUGCGGAAGGAUCAUUGAA
This 266-nucleotide ribosomal RNA is filed under the name Oophila sp. CT2013a-150. RNAcentral's name for it is "partial 18S ribosomal RNA". It matches the Rfam family "Eukaryotic small subunit ribosomal RNA", at positions 1568 to 1831 of the family's 1831-position model. The record is from RNAcentral. Lineage: Eukaryota; Viridiplantae; Chlorophyta; Chlorophyceae; Chlamydomonadales; Chlamydomonadaceae.